Long non-coding RNA from Pistacia vera, 1847 nucleotides. RefSeq lists it as uncharacterized. The transcript has 3 exons. NCBI's taxonomy places the organism in Eukaryota, Viridiplantae, Streptophyta, Magnoliopsida, Sapindales, Anacardiaceae. The record is from RefSeq and is a predicted model, not a curated record.
GACACCAUAAUCUGAAUUGGGCUCAAGUCAUAUUGGACAUAUCCAUAAAAUUACGCUAGCAUAUAUUUUCUUUUUUCGAGUUGAAACAAUGCCUAGCAUCAAACCGUACAAGUAAAGAAGAGGAUGCCUUAAUGGACCGAGUGUUUCUUGUCUGCGACAAGGGUGGACAGCUUCUCAAAUUUAAGAUUUCGAGAUGCUUUAUCAACAUUGCUGUACAUGUUCAUUUGAGUAAGCAGGACAGGAUAUAAAAACAUGGGAUAUUGACCCCUUGUUUGGAACCACAAACACAGGGCAAAGGAACAAGGUAGAAGAGGAGGGGUCCUCACGUGCCCUCUUCCUAAUUCAGAAAAGAACCGAACUCCAAAGUAGCAAAGAGGUGAUGGAGGUUGGAGGUGCAUUACUAAAAUAAGUUUCUGUCCAAAUAAAUGUCCAUUUUGCUUUGGUACUCUUUCUGAAACUUUCAUCGCACUUUUACCCUUGUCAUUGAAAUUCUCCAUCAUGUCUUUUUACCUUACAUACCUUGCAAAAGCAAGAUUCUACCUCUCAUUUGCUUUUAUGCUAUACCCUUUUCAUCAUUUUGUCAUCUCAAAUAAUGCCAAACUAUGAUGCCAACCGUAAGCUCUCUCUCUCCCCCUCUGCUUUUUAAUACGAUCUUUGUGUUUGAUUUGGGAAUUCAGAUUAUACCCAUUUUCAAUUGCAUUUGAACAAAUUAGUGUAAUUUUUGGUUUGGGUUUUUCCUUUCCUAGCUCCCUUAAGUGUAUGAUUUUUAGGUGUCUAUUUCACCUAAUCCCCACCAAAGUGAUCCAUUUUUAUGGCACGAUGAAGAAAAUGAAACCCAUAAUAAGGUGAUUUGUCAUCAUUUUAUGGCCUUAGUCAAUUGAUGAUAAAAGGGCAGUUUUCUUCUAGAUAGAAAAAAAGGAUCAAGUUGGGUUACGAUGAAGAGGUGGGACAAACACAAGACACUUUACAAGUGGAUGCAAUGAAAGACUUGGCCAUUGCCCGUUUACCAAAUCUCUUGAUAUGGGAUUUGGUGAACGUCCACUUUGAAGUUGAAUAGAAUGAUAUUCAACCUCGUCACGUGUUAUUGUGUUUCACUGUCUGCCAUUUUUCUUCACCAUUCAUUUAGGAGGAAACCACCUCACCAACACCUUCAAAAGAGCCCCUCUUUCUUAGCAAAACAAUUCAAUGUGGUAUACCAUUUCAUUUCCACUUUCUUUGUUUGCACAAAUCCGUCAUGGGAACUUUGAUUUUUCAAAGAUAUUCAACGAUCUUCUUUUGUUUUAUUUACCCUUUUAUUUUUUCCGCAAUGUAAUUAAGCAAAAUAUGCACAUGCAGAGAUGGCAUUGAAUUAUACAUAUACAUUGAUCACUCCACUCUUUGAAAGAGUAGGGUGUCAAUGUGAUAAUUGAUAGUUUCAUGAUCACAAUAUGCAGUGUAGUAAAAACUCUUAGCAACUGUGAGAAAUGUCUGCUUAAUAUCCGAGUCGAUGUCAUCUGAAGACUGUUGGAGCACUAUCUGCACAAGUUCUUGCAUAUCGGACUCUAUUUGGAGGCUUGCGAUGCCAACACUGUCAGCAUUGUCAUUUACCUGAAAAAAAAAAAAAAAAAAAAAAUCCAAGAUUAAUCAAGAAAUUUUAUGCCCCAAGGAAAUUAAAAACUAGAAUUGGAUUUUUUUCUUGAUGAGUCUGACAUUACUGACCUUUUGGUUUUGGAAAUGAGCAAGUUUAUGGCAAAUUGUGUUGGUGAGGUGGGAGAGUCUCAAGUAUUGAGGAUGAGACAAGAGCUCCUCCGAGAUCCAACGGCCAGAAGUUAAAUUAAUUGUUUGUAUAAUUAACUCUGCUUCUCCUU